UGGGGAAUCUUGCGCAAUGGGCGAAAGCCUGACGCAGCGACGCCGCGUGAGUGAUGAAGGCCUUCGGGUUGUAAAGCUCUGUGGGGCGAGACGAAUAAGUGCAGCCUAAUACGUUGCAUGAUGACGGUAUCGCCUUAGCAAGCACCGGCUAACUCUGUGCCAGCAGCCGCGGUAAGACAGAGGGUGCAAACGUUGUUCGGAAUUACUGGGCGUAAAGCGAGUGUAGGCGGUUCACUAAGUCGGGUGUGAAAGCCCCGGGCUCAACCCGGGAAGUGCACUCGAAACUGGCGAGCUAGAGUAUCGGAGAGGUUGGUGGAAUUCUCGGUGUAGAGGUGAAAUUCGUAGAUAUCGAGAGGAACACCGGCGGCGAAGGCGGCCAACUGGACGAAUACUGACGCUGAGACUCGAAAGCGCGGGGAGCAAAC
Molecule: ribosomal RNA, 425 nt
Filed under: uncultured bacterium
Lineage: Bacteria
Description: bacterial SSU rRNA
Rfam family: Bacterial small subunit ribosomal RNA
Source: RNAcentral